This 492-nucleotide ribosomal RNA is filed under the name uncultured bacterium. RNAcentral describes it as "partial 16S ribosomal RNA". It matches the Rfam family "Bacterial small subunit ribosomal RNA", at positions 29 to 507 of the family's 1533-position model. The record is from RNAcentral.
AGUGGACGCUGGCGGUAGGCCUAACACAUGCAAGUCGAACGGCAGCACAGUAAGAGCUUGCUCUUACGGGUGGCGAGUGGCGGACGGGUGAGGAAUACAUCGGAAUCUACUUUUUCGUGGGGGAUAACGUAGGGAAACUUACGCUAAUACCGCAUACGACCUACGGGUGAAAGCAGGGGAUCUUCGGACCUUGCGCGAUUGAAUGAGCCGAUGUCGGAUUAGCUAGUUGGCGGGGUAAAGGCCCACCAAGGCGACGAUCCGUAGCUGGUCUGAGAGGAUGAUCAGCCACACUGGAACUGAGACACGGUCCAGACUCCUACGGGAGGCAGCAGUGGGGAAUAUUGGACAAAGGGCGCAAGCCUGAUCCAGCCAUACCGCGUGGGUGAAGAAGGCCUUCGGGUUGUAAAGCCCUUUUGUUGGGAAAGAAAAGCAGCAGGUUAAUACCCCGCUGUUCUGGCGGUACCCAAAGAAUAAGCACCGGCUAACUUCGUG